This 614-nucleotide ribosomal RNA is filed under the name Aulacochthebius exaratus. RNAcentral describes it as "partial 16S ribosomal RNA". The stretch from base 376 to 534 matches the Rfam family "Bacterial large subunit ribosomal RNA", at positions 2473 to 2632 of the family's 2925-position model. Lineage: Eukaryota; Metazoa; Arthropoda; Insecta; Coleoptera; Hydraenidae. The record is from RNAcentral.
GUCUUUUUGAUCAUAAUUUAAAGUCUAACCUGCCCAAUGAUAGUUUUAAUGGCCGCAGUAUUUUGACUGUGCAAAGGUAGCAUAAUCAUUAGUUUUUUAAUUGAAAGCUAGAAUGAAUGGUUGAACGAAAAAAAUGCUGUCUCAAUUUAAUUUAUUUAGAAUUUUAUUUUUAAGUUAAAAAGCUUAAAUUUAAUUAAAAGACGAGAAGACCCUAUAGAGUUUUAUAUUUUAAGAAUUUAUUUUUUAGAAAUUUUUUAAUUUAAAUUAAUAUUUUAUUGGGGUGAUAAAUAAAUUUAAUUAACUUUAUUAUUAUUUAAACAUUUAUAAAUGAAAAGUUGAUCCAUAUUAAUGAUUAUAAGAUUAAAUUACCUUAGGGAUAACAGCGUAAUUUUUUUAGAGAGUUCAAAUCGAUAAAAAAGAUUGCGACCUCGAUGUUGGAUUAAAAUUUAUUUUUGGUGUAGAAGCUAAAAUAUUAAGUCUGUUCGACUUUUAAAAUUUUACAUGAUCUGAGUUUAAACCGGUGUGAGCCAGGUUGGUUUCUAUCUUUAAUAAGUUAAAAUAUUUUAGUACGAAAGGACCAAAUAUUUAUUAAAUUAAUUAAUUAAUUUGAAUAU